GAUGAACGCUGACAGAAUGCUUAACACAUGCAAGUCAACUUGAAUUUGGGUUUUUAACUUAGGUUUGGGUGGCGGACGGGUGAGUAACGCGUAAAGAACUUGCCUCACAGCUAGGGACAACAUUUGGAAACGAAUGCUAAUACCUAAUAUUAUGAUAAUAGGGCAUCCUAUAAUUAUGAAAGCUAUAAGCGCUGUGAGAGAGCUUUGCGUCCCAUUAGCUAGUUGGAGAGGUAACGGCUCACCAAGGCGAUGAUGGGUAGCCGGUCUGAGAGGGUGAUCGGCCACAAGGGGACUGAGACACGGCCCUUACUCCUACGGGAGGCAGCAGUGGGGAAGAUUGGACAAUGGACCGAGAGUCUGAUCCAGCAAUUCUGUGUGCACGAUGAAGUUUUUCGGAAUGUAAAGUGCUUUCAGUUGGGAAGAAACAAAUGACGGUACCAACAGAAGAAGUGACGGCUAAAUACGUG
RNAcentral lists this ribosomal RNA (467 nucleotides) under uncultured bacterium. RNAcentral describes it as "partial 16S ribosomal RNA". It matches the Rfam family "Bacterial small subunit ribosomal RNA", at positions 28 to 507 of the family's 1533-position model. The record is from RNAcentral.